This 316-nucleotide long non-coding RNA is filed under the name Gossypium raimondii (Peruvian cotton). RNAcentral describes it as "long non-coding RNA (GRAI_LNC001541)". The record is from RNAcentral. Lineage: Eukaryota; Viridiplantae; Streptophyta; Magnoliopsida; Malvales; Malvaceae.
ACAAAGAUCGUAUUUUUUGCUUUUAUAUCUCAUCUAUUUCUAUUUUUCUAUUAUUUGUUGCUGCUUUUUGCGUGUCUGCUCUGUUUUUGCAGGUGUUGAUGAAGCUAGGCACGGUGGGUGGCGAUGGGACAAGGCAAACGGCAGAGGGAUGGGUGCGGCGCUAGGCUUGGCUAGGGUUUCAUUUUUCUGAAACCCUAGUUGGGGUUUUUUUUGGGAAAUUGGGCUCCGAAUUUGGGCCUCAGGUUUGGGUUGUAAUUGGGCUUGUGGGUUGGUGUUAUUUUGCUGGUAGGGCCUGGGCAAAUUUGGGCUUCUACAG